This 501-nucleotide ribosomal RNA is filed under the name uncultured bacterium. RNAcentral's name for it is "partial 16S ribosomal RNA". It matches the Rfam family "Bacterial small subunit ribosomal RNA", at positions 30 to 523 of the family's 1533-position model. The record is from RNAcentral.
AUUGAACGCUGGCGGCAGGCUUAACACAUGCAAGUCGAGCGGGGGAAGGUAGCUUGCUACUGGACCUAGCGGCGGACGGGUGAGUAAUGCUUAGGAAUCUGCCUAUUAGUGGGGGACAACAUCUCGAAAGGGAUGCUAAUACCGCAUACGUCCUACGGGAGAAAGCAGGGGAUCUUCGGACCUUGCGCUAAUAGAUGAGCCUAAGUCGGAUUAGCUAGUUGGUGGGGUAAAGGCCUACCAAGGCGACGAUCUGUAGCGGGUCUGAGAGGAUGAUCCGCCACACUGGGACUGAGACACGGCCCAGACUCCGACGGGAGGUAGCAGUGGGGAAUAUUGGACAAUGGGGGGAACCCUGAUCCAGCCAUGCCGCGUGUGUGAAGAAGGCCUUAUGGUUGUAAAGCACUUUAAGCGAGGAGGAGGCUACUUUAGUUAAUACCUAGAGAUAGUGGACGUUACUCGCAGAAUAAGCACCGGCUAACUCUGUGCCAGCCGCCGCGGUAA